GAUGAACGCUGGCGGCGUGCCUAAUACAUGCAAGUCGAGCGAACAGACGAGGAGCUUGCUCCUCUGACGUUAGCGGCGGACGGGUGAGUAACACGUGGAUAACCUACCUAUAAGACUGGGAUAACUUCGGGAAACCGGAGCUAAUACCGGAUAAUAUAUUGAACCGCAUGGUUCAAUAGUGAAAGACGGUUUUGCUGUCACUUAUAGAUGGAUCCGCGCCGCAUUAGCUAGUUGGUAAGGUAACGGCUUACCAAGGCAACGAUGCGUAGCCGACCUGAGAGGGUGGCCGACCACAAGGGAACGGAGACACGGCCCAGCCUCAGCCGGGAGGCAGCAGAGGGGAUUUCUCCGGAAGGGGCGAAGCCCGGAAGGAGCACCGCCGCGGGAGUGAUGAAGUUCUUCGGAUCUUAAAACUUUUUUAUUGGGGAAGAAAAAAUGGGAAAGAAACUAGGCACGUCUGGAGGGACCCUAAUAAGAAACCCACGCCAAACUCCGUC
This 497-nucleotide ribosomal RNA is filed under the name uncultured bacterium. RNAcentral's name for it is "partial 16S ribosomal RNA". It matches the Rfam family "Bacterial small subunit ribosomal RNA", at positions 28 to 507 of the family's 1533-position model. The record is from RNAcentral.